UUCCGUACACUCAUGGAUAGCCUUCCGAAAGAAAGAUUAAUACCUGAUAGUAUCUUAAGCACACAUGUAAUUAAGAUUAAAGAUUUAUCGGUGUACGAUGGGGAUGCGUUCCAUUAGGUAGUAGGCGGGGUAACGGCCCACCUAGCCAACGAUGGAUAGGGGUUCUGAGAGGAAGGUCCCCCACAUUGGAACUGAGACACGGUCCAAACCCCUACGGGAGGCAGCAGUGAGGAAUAUUGGUCAAUGGACGAGAGUCUGAACCAGCCAAGUAGCGUGAAGGAUGAAGGUCCUACGGAUUGUAAACUUCUUUUAUAAGGGAAUAAACCCUCCCACGUGUGGGAGCUUGUAUGUACCUUAUGAAUAAGCAUCGGCUAACUCCGUGCCAGCAGCCGCGGUAAUACGGAGGAUGCGAGCGUUAUCCGGAUUUAUUGGGUUUAAAGGGAGCGCAGACGGGUCGUUAAGUCAGCUGUGAAAGUUUGGGGCUCAACCUUAAAAUUGCAGUUGAUACUGGCGUCCUUGAGUGCGGUUGAGGUGUGCGGAAUUCGUGGUGUAGCGGUGAAAUGCUUAGAUAUCACGAAGAACUCCGAUUGCGAAGGCAGCACACUAAUCCGUAAUUGACGUUCAUGCUCGAAAGUGUGGGUAUCAAACAGGAUUAGAUACCCUGGUAGUCCACACG
RNAcentral lists this ribosomal RNA (676 nucleotides) under uncultured Bacteroidota bacterium. RNAcentral describes it as "bacterial SSU rRNA". It matches the Rfam family "Bacterial small subunit ribosomal RNA", at positions 127 to 801 of the family's 1533-position model. The record is from RNAcentral. Lineage: Bacteria; Pseudomonadati; Bacteroidota.